Long non-coding RNA from Mobula hypostoma (lesser devil ray), 1591 nucleotides. RefSeq lists it as uncharacterized. Lineage: Eukaryota; Metazoa; Chordata; Chondrichthyes; Myliobatiformes; Myliobatidae. The transcript is spliced from 4 exons. The record is from RefSeq and is a predicted model, not a curated record.
GGGUCGGGGGGGGAGGGAGUGGUGGCGUGGGGUGGGGAGUGAAGGGAGAUGCGACCGAGCAGAAAAGCGGCAAACAGUUUUUCUCUUUUGUGGUAAAUCAAGAAAAUAGAUAUUUUUAAAAGAAAGAUAUUGACCAAAAUAAUGGCCGGGGGGGGGGGUUGCAAGUUGACAAUUUCUGACUGAAGGAAAAUUUAAACUUACUCCAGACUAGUCCAAACAAACAAGACGUGUGUUCACGAAAGUAAUAGUAAGAAAUUCAUCCGGCUCAUCUUGCAUUGUAAACAGAAUCCUUUUGGAUAGUAGUCCAGUUUCAUUUUACCACUUCACUCAGAUCUGAAAGAAUGAACUGAGUUUAGCAAUCGACUUUAGUCGUAUACACGAUCUUAACAACUUGGGUGAGAGGAACCGAUUCAUUUUAACAAGCAAGAGUUUUGUUUUAAAAGAGAAGAAAUAUAUUUUCUAGUGGUAGUUAACCCGUUAUACUCGAACAAUUUAAGCGUAUUAUUCUCUUCUUUACAGGGUUGCGAAAGAGUUUACAGAUGUAACACAGAUCUCAUUUAAAUCUCUGAUCUCCAGGUGCAGACGCUGAAUAGUCUGUGCCAGAGCCCCAACAGCAUGUUUUCCUUUCCAGCAGAUUUUCCUUGGACCUCUCUCAAACCGAGUCUCGUGGUUUUGUUUACACUGAAUGGAGAGUAUAGCAGCGGUACCAUGGGGCCGUCUUUCAUUAAUAUACAGUGAGGAUUUUGUCUAAAUUACUGCCACGAAUUUCACAGUACACGCAUUUAAAGAUGUCUCAGGUGGACUACUGAAAGCCGCAUGUGCCGCCAAAAAGAACUGCGUUAAAAAAAACUCUUAAGGUCAAUGACAAUGUAGGGAAAGACCUGAAUGUAUUUGUCUUUAAAAAAUCCUUAAAUUGUUUUCCCACCAAGAAAAAAGUAAAACAUCAGAGAACAAUUUGUACUGAUUUACAUUUGCAUAAAUUUUCAUAUAUUUUGGUGAAAAUAAUAGACUAGCGAAAGUCGGGCUCAGUGAAGCCAGUAUAAGGGCACAUCCUAGCGAGGAUCGACCAGGAACAAUUCGGAGCGAAGGUAAAAGGCAAAAUCAGUAAUCCAAAUACGCGAAACUUUUCUAUGCUAUUUACCAGUUGAAAGCGGCUAUCCCGUUGCGUUGAGACCAAGGCCAACUCUACACUUGAUGUACCUGCCAUCUACUGAAGUUCUCUGAUGCAUUGCCCACAGAGAAGUGGCUUCUCUAAUCACCCAAAUGUGAUGUAAGGUUCCCCACAAGGUUAACUUAAACUUGUUGAUCUGUCCUGAUGUCAAGAGCUUGUUGUUUCGGAGACAGCCCUCAGCAGAAUCGAAAAGAUCAGUAAUCUGAAAAAAAAAGUAUAAUUUGAGCAAAAAACCACAGCAUUUUCAGAAUUCAGCUUUUGAAGCAUUUGAAAUGGUGCAUUUAAGAUUCCCACAAGGAGCAUGCAAAGGGCUGUAAGCAUGGAUGACUACACCCUCCAACUAUCAUAACUGCCACCCUUAAGGGUGUAGACAAAUGCAUGUGUUUAUAGUGAGUAUCAGUUUAAAACAGUCCUCCAAAA